RNAcentral lists this ribosomal RNA (460 nucleotides) under uncultured bacterium. RNAcentral's name for it is "partial 16S ribosomal RNA". It matches the Rfam family "Bacterial small subunit ribosomal RNA", at positions 338 to 795 of the family's 1533-position model. The record is from RNAcentral.
CCUCCGGGUGUCCGCCGUUCUUACUAUUUUUCCCUUUCCUAUAUUCUUAACCAUCCAAUUCUCUUUAGUGAAGACGGCCCUACGGGUUGUAAACCUCUUUUGUCGGGGAGCAAAGCGAGUCACGUGUGACUCAUUGAGAGUACCCGAAGAAAAAGCAUCGGCUAACUCCGUGCCAGCAGCCGCGGUAAUACGGAGGAUCCGAGCGUUAUCCGGAUUUAUUGGGUUUAUAGGGAGCGUCGGUGGAUGGUUAAGUCAGUUGUGAAAGUUUGCGGCUCAACCGUAAAAUUGCAGUUGAAACUGGAAGUCGUGAGUACAGUAGAGGUGGGCGGAAUUCGUGGUGUAGCGGUGAAAUGCUUAGAUAUCACGAAGAACUCCGAUUGCGAAGGCAGCUCACUGGACUGCAACUGACACUGAGGCUCGAAAGUGUGGGUAUCAAACAGGAUUAGAUACCCCGGUAGUC